GCUGAAGCUCCUGCUUGGACGACUCGCACAGCUGCGACACCUCAUCCUCGCGCUUCUUCUGCAGACGCUCGAUCUCACGCUCCAGCUGAAGGAUCUCCUCCAUCUGACGCACUUCGUCCUGGAAUGGAGAUUCCAGGAUGCCUUUGACGUCAUACAAGACCUGAAGACGCCCGAAACGCAAGACAUCACGUUGGAUGUAUAGCGCAAAGGAGAAAUGAUGAGCGCUACUCACCUCCCCGGCGUAAUGUUUGAUACCGAACUGAUGGUCGGCCAAUCUGGGCUUCACGUAGUAAGGGUUGGUCUGCCGCAAAAUGCCAACCUUCUCCAGAAGAGUGAAGUCCGUGCCUUUGGGGAAGCGACUCUCUUCGUUCACCAGAGCCAACAAGCCCAGUUUCUGAAGAGCCAAGCAAAAUCGUCGGCCCAUUAGAUGAGAGAAAUUCUCUCAAAGAAGAGCAACGAGAAAACCAAGUGCUGCAUCCAAGUGGAGACUGCGGAUUACGUGCAAUACCUUCUCGAUGAGAUCAAGACACUCGGCGUUGUCCAUCCAGUCGAUGGCGUCCCACUGGACACCUUCCCUGUGAAGGCGACAAUCAGAUAUUAGGAUGAUCCAGGAGAAACAUUGGGAAUACAGCGCCAUGGCAACCGAGUCCCGAGAAUCUACAGCCUGUGACGACGCCACGGAAGGUCGGUUAGCAUUGUGGGAAUAAAAAAACAAUUGGCGAGUGUUUAACGACCUGUUCGAUGGUGAGCGGCGAGCAUAUCUCUUCUCCUCGCAGGAUGAUGGAGCGCUGAGUCAGCACUUCGGACAGCUGGAAGGCGUCGAGGCCGAGGAGCUCGCUCGCGUUGGUCACCACUGGAAAAAGCAUAAACACGCUUUAUCCCAAAUAUUUUUUUCUUCUUUUGAGCUUGGCACCGACCUUGCUUGGUGGUGAUCUGAGCUCCUCCCGCCGUCAUGAAGUCCACGUUGCCGAGCUGCAGGACGCCCGAGAGGAGCUUGAACAUGUCCCUGAUCUCCUCCUCGGAGAACUCCAGCACCUUCAGGGCCUCCUGCUCGCAACAAUAUUGAAGAGGAUACAAUCGAUGACGCAGCCUCCCUGGAUGUUGCCGCACUCCGAGAAGUGAAGCUGGAUGAACUUCCCGAAGCGGCUGGAGUUAUUAUUGUAAACGGUCUUGGCGUUCCCGAACGCUUCCAUGAUAGGACUGUGAAGAAAAUGAAGUGGCGUCGCAGCCGACUUUUGGCUCAUCACCGACAGGAACUGGAGCAACAGCUUAGUGCUUUCCGUCUUCCCUGCUCCCGACUCGCCACUGACACACACACAAAUCGCGUUGGUGCAGGUUAUGCAUAAUGGCCGCCUCGUGCAACUCAGCCAGCGCCGACAUGUCUUCCACGCCGUCCACGCUGGAUUGGUGCAUGGGAUACACACGCUCCCUGGUGACCUCGGCCUGCUGCAGGUCAGAGAAAUCAGAGAACCAAGCCCAAUCAGCGACCCGUAUUGGAUUCCGGCACAUGACCUGAUGACCACAUGACCUCACUCUCUCAGUGGCUCUCCGUCCCAUUGACGACAGUCUCUUGCUCUGUCACACACACACCAUGGCAACAGGACUCGACGGCAACAGGGCGCCAUGGUAACAGCCUCCUUCUGUUGCCGCAGAUGGAUGCUGGGAGAUGGAGUUCCAGUUUUGCUGAGUGUUGGACUAAAAAAAAACACCAAAAGCUUAAAAACGUUUUAAAAUAGAAAAAAAAUAUUCAAUGCACCAAUUGAAUGUGAUUUGGCCAUAUGCCAUGUUCAACCCUUCUAGGGGGAAGGAAGCAUUUUGGGAGAUGCUAUUUUAUUUGCAAUGACCUUACAGUAGCAUAGACUUGAUGCCUUUCGACAGCAAUAGUGGUGUCCCACCUACACGCCGGUGCAUGAAAGUAGGCUACAGCAAAGGACUCAUGGCACUGAGCUGUAGCUUAAGGGAGGAAGGAGACGAGCCGAGGAGGGAAAAAAAAGUCAAAUGAUGCAGCUUUCUGAGCAGAACAAAUGUGUUGGGAGCUUCAGAAUAUAGGUCACACAUCUCCAGCGACUCUUCCCUCCCCUCUUUGCCUGCGCUACUUCAAAUCCUGCAUAAUUUCAAGCACAAUCGAGACGGGCAAAAGCCACGUUGAAAUAUGUAUCACACGCACGUUCUGUUCUGUUCGACGUGCAAACAAGAUGCUUUUAUAGUGUGGCUGGUUCUCUAUUCUAGCUUCCUGCACACGAUUUAACCAACUGAUGAAUAUUUUAAUGCGGUUAUGAAGUUCUUUGCAUAAAACACCAGCCUCAUCGUGUUAAAGCUUUG
Long non-coding RNA from Syngnathus acus (greater pipefish), 2322 nucleotides. RefSeq lists it as uncharacterized. The transcript has 9 exons. The record is from RefSeq and is a predicted model, not a curated record. NCBI's taxonomy places the organism in Eukaryota, Metazoa, Chordata, Actinopteri, Syngnathiformes, Syngnathidae.